Molecule: unclassified non-coding RNA, 406 nt
Filed under: Hevea brasiliensis (rubber tree)
Lineage: Eukaryota; Viridiplantae; Streptophyta; Magnoliopsida; Malpighiales; Euphorbiaceae
Source: RNAcentral
UCUCUCUCUCUCUCUCUCUUGUCCCCCCAUCCUAUCUUCAUCUUCUUCCCCAAUUUUGUUUUUCAAAGAAGUGAUGAUAAAUUCUUUUCUUUUUUGCAACCCAUGUAGACCCUCUAAUAUCUCACCUCUAAUAAUAAUCGGCCAUUGAAGAGAUCAGUGAGAUGCUGUUCUGGCAUGCCAAUGUCCACUGGGCUUUAUAUGAAUCUAGGGAGUUUCUUCACUUGUGUACAGACCUGUGCCUAAACAAGACCUAUUUAAAAUCUGGUAGGCGGUGACGGUGGUGGCAGUAGUGGUUGUGCAACGAUAGUGGUGAAUGGUAGUAGGGAAGGAUUUGGGGGGUUCACUACAGAGUUUACGGUGGUGAGAAAACUGGGCUUCCUUUUUUAGGGAAUAAUUUUGGGCAUUG